Molecule: ribosomal RNA, 492 nt
Filed under: Planktothrix agardhii
Lineage: Bacteria; Bacillati; Cyanobacteriota; Cyanophyceae; Oscillatoriales; Microcoleaceae
Description: bacterial SSU rRNA
Rfam family: Bacterial small subunit ribosomal RNA
Source: RNAcentral
GCCUAGAGAGGGGCUUGCGUCUGAUUAGCUAGUUGGURAGGUAAGAGCYYACCAAGGCGACGAUCAGUAGCUGGUCUGAGAGGAUGAUCAGCCACACUGGGACUGAGACACGGCCCAGACUCCUACGGGAGGCAGCAGUGGGGAAUUUUCCGCAAUGGGCGAAAGCCUGACGGAGCAAGACCGCGUGGGGGAGGAAGGUUCUUGGAUUGUCAACCCCUUUUCUCAGGGAAGAACNCAAUGACGGUACCUGAGGAAAAAGCAUCGGCUAACUCCGUGCCAGCAGCCGCGGUAAUACGGGGGAUGCAAGCGUUAUCCGGAAUGAUUGGGCGUAAAGAGUCCGUAGGUAGUCAUCCAAGUCUGCUGUUAAAGAGCGAGGCUUAACCUCGUAAAGGCAGUGGAAACUGGAAGACUAGAGUGUAGUAGGGGCAGAGGGAAUUCCUGGUGUAGCGGUGAAAUGCGUAGAGAUCAGGAAGAACACCGGUGGCGAAGGCG